CUCCAUGAAGUCGGAAUCGCUAGUAAUCGUGGAUCAGAAUGCCACGGUGAAUACGUUCCCGGGCCUUGUACACACCGCCCGUCACACCAUGGGAGUGGGUUGCAAAAGAAGUAGGUAGCUUAACCUUCGGGAGGGCGCUUACCACUUUGUGAUUCAUGACUGGGGUGAAGUCGUAACAAGGUAACCGUAGGGGAACCUGCGGUUGGAUCACCUCCUUA
This 218-nucleotide ribosomal RNA is filed under the name Escherichia coli. Its description in RNAcentral is "partial 16S ribosomal RNA". It matches the Rfam family "Bacterial small subunit ribosomal RNA", at positions 1316 to 1533 of the family's 1533-position model. The record is from RNAcentral. RNAcentral also lists the same sequence under 4 other names. Lineage: Bacteria; Pseudomonadati; Pseudomonadota; Gammaproteobacteria; Enterobacterales; Enterobacteriaceae.